Molecule: ribosomal RNA, 253 nt
Filed under: uncultured bacterium
Lineage: Bacteria
Description: partial 16S ribosomal RNA
Rfam family: Bacterial small subunit ribosomal RNA
Source: RNAcentral
UACGUAGGGUGCGAGCGUUAAUCGGAAUUACUGGGCGUAAAGCGUGCGCAGGCGGUUUUGUAAGACAGGCGUGAAAUCCCCGGGCUCAACCUGGGAACUGCGCUUGUGACUGCAAGACUAGAGUACGGCAGAGGGGGGUGGAAUUCCACGUGUAGCAGUGAAAUGCGUAGAGAUGUGGAGGAACACCAAUGGCGAAGGCAGCCCCCUGGGUCGAUACUGACGCUCAUGCACGAAAGCGUGGGGAGCAAACAGG